CUCAAGCACAAGUGCAGACUGAGACGCAGAGCGGAGCACAAGUACAGACACAGACUGUAAAAAUACAACAAAGUACAACUCCACUAGAGGCUGCGAAUCAACCAACAACUCAUGUAGUCAAAGCAGAAACAGUGCAAAGUCAAGCACAGACUGUCAAACCAUCACUGACGGCAGUGCAACAGAAGACAUCUGUUCAGUCAAACACCUCUCGAGAACCACAAACAGCAAAACCAACAAAUGAACGUCAGUCUGCAUCUCAUCCAGCCGUACAGACCAGGACAGCCCAGUCUCCCUUGCACUCCAUCACACAAGCAGAGACCUCAUCUCAAAUUGCACAAGGGAGUGUCACACAGUCUCUCGCACAAUCUUACCUUUCCUCAGGCCAGCUGACCCCCCGGAGCAAUCGAGGUCUUUACGCAGCCAACCAGCUCAAAUCAACAACCUCAGUUUCUGCAACAUCAUUGACUUCAGCUCUUCCUCCAGUUCCGGCCUUGGGAAGAGGGGAAAGAGAAACCGCAGUGCAGGAGAAAGAGGGCGCAUCACAGUCGGGAAAACGAGCAGUUUUGGCCGGGGCAGUAAGCGAGAAGGCGGCUUUUUUGGAGAAACGGGCAGAGUGGACCAAUCCACCUGGAACCAAGGGGGUGGAAUUGAAGAAAGCUCAAACAGAGGUGCAGAUAUCAGGUGAAUCCGCUGCCUCGGUGAAAAGCACGGCCCUAAGCAGAGACAUCAAACCAGAGGGAAGACAAGGGGUGAAGCUCGCAGAGUCAAGUCCCACCAAAGUUCCAGACAGACGUCGUGAGGAAAAAUGUCUGCGGAAAAACGUGGUGACAUCUUCAUCGCGCUCAUCGUCACCUACAAUGCAGUCAGCGUUGCCGUCCGUGUCUGAGAGCGGCCAGCCGUCCUGGAUGGAGCUGGCGAAAAGAAAGUCGAUGGCCUGGAGUGAUAAGUCUAUGGACUGAGAGAAACAGACAAACUGAUGGUACACCUGUAGACAAAUUGUCAGAGAAAUGUUGAUCCCUCUCUGUCGAGGCUGUUGGGUUUGUGUAUUGAAUAAGUGUUCGUAUUAAUGCAGACAGAGAAUAUAUAAUGUAUUAUAAUUCCUCUUUACCACAAACACAUCAAGAUAAAUUGUAUUUCUGAAUUUUCUUUCAUUUCUCAAGUGACUUAAUGUAAGAGGGCUACGGAGAAUUAAAAUAUACAAUAACUGACUUCAUACUUCCUCUACAACAUAAGAAAUGAUGCCAAAACUCUUCAUAUAUGGAUGAAAAUAUAACUUUUUAACAAGCGGUGAUGAGGUAAAAGAGAAUGUGGAACAAUUCCUAUUAUAAUUGAAGUAUUUCUUCAAGACCUUACGAGUGUGGGUCAAGAUUAAAGUCAGGACAUUUGAGUUUGUUGCCCCAGCUUUUCCCUGUGUGUAACCUUGGCCCUAAUGUACCCGUAAGCCGUAUCAUGGGACCUGCACUAGACCUAACUCGGCCUACAGCCCCUCCUGCAGAGCGGAUCCAGACCUGUUCCGAGUUGUGCAUCAUCACUGUGAAAAGGGAUCAUUGCUGGUGCUCUUCCCUGAAAUGAUAUGUUUUUUUAAAUGGUAGGUCACACUGCAUACCACUAAUAUAAUUGUUUUGUUUUAAAACCUUAGACAAUACUUAAUUGUCUGGGUGCGUAAUAGACCUGGCUUCUAAGAAAGUCAGACGUUUUAUUAUCCUUGUUGUCAUUCCUGGCUAACCUGCUGCUAACUCGUCCCUUGCCAGUUGCAUGGCCUGGGUAUGUUUGGAAUAUUAGUACUUUAUAACAACCUGGUACGAUCUUCUAUAGUUUGUAUCUUACAACUCCGUGCUGCAUGGCUUAUGUGUUUGUGUCAUAUCACCAUUUUACUAACUUGUAACUGCAUCUUUGUACAUUUUUUUAAAUCGAGAUCUCCAUUACGUUAUGAUUGUUGUAUUUUAUUUCUGUCCUAUUCCUUCUUGCUGCUCUGCAUGCAUCAAAGAAAUGGCUUUCAUCAGUAUUGGUUGGCUUUGUUUCGUUGCUUGUUAGCAUGGCUUCAUGUAAAGUGGAUAUUGUGGAUGUAUUGCUGUACUUAUGUUUUGAUGUGUCCUGUUGCUCUGCUUUCAAAACAUCUCGCCAAAGGCCUACAGUUGAAAAUUAGCCAGAUGGCACAUUUACAAUAUUGUUGAUUAAUGUGCAUUGUCUUUAUCAAUAAAAAAAAGUCACAAAAAGCAAACAAACAAAAGUACUAAGACACAUGCUGCAACAUGCAUGGCAAUUU
Molecule: long non-coding RNA, 2266 nt
Organism: Cottoperca gobio
Lineage: Eukaryota; Metazoa; Chordata; Actinopteri; Perciformes; Bovichtidae
Source: Ensembl